Molecule: ribosomal RNA, 444 nt
Filed under: Serratia symbiotica
Lineage: Bacteria; Pseudomonadati; Pseudomonadota; Gammaproteobacteria; Enterobacterales; Yersiniaceae
Description: bacterial SSU rRNA
Rfam family: Bacterial small subunit ribosomal RNA
Source: RNAcentral
AUGGCUCAGAUUAAACGCUGGCGGCAGGCCUAACACAUGCAAGUCGAGCGGUAGCACAAGAGAGCUUGCUCUCUGGGUGACGAGCGGCGGACGGGUGAGUAAUGUUUGGGAAACUGCCUGAUGGUGGGGGAUAACUAGUGGAAACGGUAGCUAAUACCGCAUAAUGUCGCAAGACCAAAGUGGGGGACCUUCGGGCCUCACGCCAUCAGAUGUGCCCAGAUGGGAUUAGCUGUUAGGUGGGGUAAUGGCUCACCUAGGCGACGAUCCCUAGCUGGUCUGAGAGGAUGACCAGCCACACUGGAACUGAGACACGGUCCAGACUCCUACGGGAGGCAGCAGUGGGGAAUAUUGCACAAUGGGCGCAAGCCUGAUGCAGCCAUGCCGCGUGUGUGAAGAAGGCCUUCGGGUUGUAAAGCACUUUCAGCGAGGAGGAAGGGUAAUGUG